This 2892-nucleotide ribosomal RNA is filed under the name Pseudomonas syringae CC1630. RNAcentral's name for it is "bacterial LSU rRNA". It matches the Rfam family "Bacterial large subunit ribosomal RNA". Lineage: Bacteria; Pseudomonadati; Pseudomonadota; Gammaproteobacteria; Pseudomonadales; Pseudomonadaceae. The record is from RNAcentral.
UCAAGUGAAGAAGCGCAUACGGUGGAUGCCUUGGCAGUCAGAGGCGAUGAAAGACGUGGUAGCCUGCGAAAAGCUUCGGGGAGUCGGCAAACAGACUGUGAUCCGGAGAUGUCUGAAUGGGGGAACCCAGCCAUCAUAAGAUGGUUAUCUUACACUGAAUACAUAGGUGUAAGAGGCGAACCAGGGGAACUGAAACAUCUAAGUACCCUGAGGAAAAGAAAUCAACCGAGAUUCCCUUAGUAGUGGCGAGCGAACGGGGACCAGCCCUUAAGUUGUAUUGAGAUUAGCGGAACGCUCUGGAAAGUGCGGCCAUAGUGGGUGAUAGCCCUGUACGCGAAAAUCCCUUUGCAAUGAAAUCGAGUAGGACGGGGCACGAGAAACCUUGUCUGAAUAUGGGGGGACCAUCCUCCAAGGCUAAAUACUACUGACUGACCGAUAGUGAACCAGUACCGUGAGGGAAAGGCGAAAAGAACCGCGGAGAGCGGAGUGAAAUAGAUCCUGAAACCGUAUGCGUACAAGCAGUGGGAGCCCACUUUGUUGGGUGACUGCGUACCUUUUGUAUAAUGGGUCAGCGACUUAUUUUCAGUGGCGAGCUUAACCGAAUAGGGGAGGCGUAGCGAAAGCGAGUCUUAAUAGGGCGUCUAGUCGCUGGGAAUAGACCCGAAACCGGGCGAUCUAUCCAUGGGCAGGUUGAAGGUUGGGUAACACUAACUGGAGGACCGAACCGACUACCGUUGAAAAGUUAGCGGAUGACCUGUGGAUCGGAGUGAAAGGCUAAUCAAGCUCGGAGAUAGCUGGUUCUCCUCGAAAGCUAUUUAGGUAGCGCCUCAUGUAUCACUGUAGGGGGUAGAGCACUGUUUCGGCUAGGGGGUCAUCCCGACUUACCAAACCGAUGCAAACUCCGAAUACCUACAAGUGCCGAGCAUGGGAGACACACGGCGGGUGCUAACGUCCGUCGUGAAAAGGGAAACAACCCAGACCGUCAGCUAAGGUCCCAAAGUCAUGGUUAAGUGGGAAACGAUGUGGGAAGGCUUAGACAGCUAGGAGGUUGGCUUAGAAGCAGCCACCCUUUAAAGAAAGCGUAAUAGCUCACUAGUCGAGUCGGCCUGCGCGGAAGAUGUAACGGGGCUCAAACCAUGCACCGAAGCUACGGGUAUCAUCUUUUGAUGAUGCGGUAGAGGAGCGUUCUGUAAGCCUGUGAAGGUGAGUUGAGAAGCUUGCUGGAGGUAUCAGAAGUGCGAAUGCUGACAUGAGUAACGACAAUGGGUGUGAAAAACACCCACGCCGAAAGACCAAGGUUUCCUGCGCAACGUUAAUCGACGCAGGGUUAGUCGGUCCCUAAGGCGAGGCUGAAAAGCGUAGUCGAUGGAAAACAGGUUAAUAUUCCUGUACUUCUGGUUAUUGCGAUGGAGGGACGGAGAAGGCUAGGCCAGCCUGGCGUUGGUAGUCCAGGUUUAAGGUGGUAGGCUGAGAUCUUAGGUAAAUCCGGGAUCUUAAGGCCGAGAGCUGAUGACGAGUGUUCUUUUAGAACAUGAAGUGGUUGAUGCCAUGCUUCCAAGAAAAGCUUCUAAGCUUCAGGUAACCAGGAACCGUACCCCAAACCGACACAGGUGGUUGGGUAGAGAAUACCAAGGCGCUUGAGAGAACUCGGGUGAAGGAACUAGGCAAAAUGGCACCGUAACUUCGGGAGAAGGUGCGCCGGUGAGGGUGAAGCAUUUACUGCGUAAGCCCACGCCGGUCGAAGAUACCAGGCCGCUGCGACUGUUUAUUAAAAACACAGCACUCUGCAAACACGAAAGUGGACGUAUAGGGUGUGACGCCUGCCCGGUGCCGGAAGGUUAAUUGAUGGGGUUAGCGCAAGCGAAGCUCUUGAUCGAAGCCCCGGUAAACGGCGGCCGUAACUAUAACGGUCCUAAGGUAGCGAAAUUCCUUGUCGGGUAAGUUCCGACCUGCACGAAUGGCGUAACGAUGGCGGCGCUGUCUCCACCCGAGACUCAGUGAAAUUGAAAUCGCUGUGAAGAUGCAGUGUAUCCGCGGCUAGACGGAAAGACCCCGUGAACCUUUACUAUAGCUUUGCACUGGACUUUGAAUUUGCUUGUGUAGGAUAGGUGGGAGGCUUUGAAGCGUGGACGCCAGUCUGCGUGGAGCCAACCUUGAAAUACCACCCUGGCAACUUUGAGGUUCUAACUCAGGUCCGUUAUCCGGAUCGAGGACAGUGUAUGGUGGGUAGUUUGACUGGGGCGGUCUCCUCCUAAAGAGUAACGGAGGAGUACGAAGGUGCGCUCAGACCGGUCGGAAAUCGGUCGUAGAGUAUAAAGGCAAAAGCGCGCUUGACUGCGAGACAGACACGUCGAGCAGGUACGAAAGUAGGUCUUAGUGAUCCGGUGGUUCUGUAUGGAAGGGCCAUCGCUCAACGGAUAAAAGGUACUCCGGGGAUAACAGGCUGAUACCGCCCAAGAGUUCAUAUCGACGGCGGUGUUUGGCACCUCGAUGUCGGCUCAUCACAUCCUGGGGCUGAAGCCGGUCCCAAGGGUAUGGCUGUUCGCCAUUUAAAGUGGUACGCGAGCUGGGUUUAGAACGUCGUGAGACAGUUCGGUCCCUAUCUGCCGUGGACGUUUGAGAUUUGAGAGGGGCUGCUCCUAGUACGAGAGGACCGGAGUGGACGAACCUCUGGUGUUCCGGUUGUCACGCCAGUGGCAUUGCCGGGUAGCUAUGUUCGGAAAAGAUAACCGCUGAAAGCAUCUAAGCGGGAAACUUGCCUCAAGAUGAGAUCUCACUGGAACCUUGAGUUCCCUGAAGGGCCGUCGAAGACUACGACGUUGAUAGGUUGGGUGUGUAAGCGCUGUGAGGCGUUGAGCUAACCAAUACUAAUUGCCCGUGAGGCUUGACCAU